RNAcentral lists this ribosomal RNA (253 nucleotides) under uncultured bacterium. RNAcentral's name for it is "partial 16S ribosomal RNA". It matches the Rfam family "Bacterial small subunit ribosomal RNA", at positions 524 to 776 of the family's 1533-position model. The record is from RNAcentral.
UACGGGGGGGGCAAGCGUUGUUCGGAAUUACUGGGCGUAAAGGGCUCGUAGGUGGCCAACUAAGUCGGAUGUGAAAUCCCCAGGCUUAACCUGGGAACUGCAUCCGAUACUGGAUGGCUUGAAUCCGGGAGAGGGAUGCAGAAUUCCAGGUGUAGCGGUGAAAUGCGUAGAUAUCUGGAGGAACGCCGGUGGCGAAAGCGACACACUGGACCUUGUCUGACGCUGAGGCACGAAAGCCAGGGGAGCAAACGGG